RNAcentral lists this ribosomal RNA (400 nucleotides) under uncultured bacterium. RNAcentral's name for it is "bacterial SSU rRNA". It matches the Rfam family "Bacterial small subunit ribosomal RNA", at positions 355 to 747 of the family's 1533-position model. The record is from RNAcentral.
UGGGGAAUAUUGGACAAUGGGCGAAAGCCUGAUCCAGCAAUGCCGCGUGUGUGAAGAAGGCCUUCGGGUUGUAAAGCACUUUUGUUAGGGAGGAAAGUCUGGGGGUUAAUACCCUCUGGAUCUGACGUUACCUAAAGAAUCAGCACCGGCUAACUCUGUGCCAGCAGCCGCGGUAAUACAGAGGGUGCAAGCGUUAAUCGGAAUUACUGGGCGUAAAGGGUCUGUAGGCGGAUUAUUAAGUCGGAUGUGAAAUCCCCGGGCUCAACCUGGGAACUGCAUUCGAUACUGGUAAUCUAGAGUAUGCAAGAGGAUGGGGGAAUUCCUGGUGUAGCAGUGAAAUGCGUAGAUAUCAGGAGGAACAUCAAUGGCGAAGGCACCUUUCUGGGGCAAUACUGACGCU